AUUGAACGCUGGCGGCAUGCUUUACACAUGCAAGUCGAACGGUAACAGGGUGCUUGCACCGCUGACGAGUGGCGAACGGGUGAGUAAUGCGUCGGAACGUGCCGAGUAGUGGGGGAUAACGCAGCGAAAGUUGUGCUAAUACCGCAUACGUACUGAGGUAGAAAGUGGGGGACCUUCGGGCCUCACGCUAUUCGAGCGGCCGACGUCUGAUUAGCUAGUAGGUGAGGUAAAGGCUCACCUAGGCGACGAUCAGUAGCGGGUCUGAGAGGAUGAUCCGCCACACUGGGACUGAGACACGGCCCAGACUCCGCCGGGAGGCAGCAGUGGGGAAUUUUGGACAAUGGGCGAAAGCCUGAUCCAGCCAUGCCGCGUGUCUGAAGAAGGCCUUCGGGUUGUAAAGGACUUUUGUCAGGGAGGAAAUCCCUAGUGCUAAUAACACUGGGGGAUGACAGUACCUGAAGAAUAAGCACCGGCUAACUACGUGCCAGCAGCCGCGGUAA
Molecule: ribosomal RNA, 500 nt
Filed under: uncultured bacterium
Lineage: Bacteria
Description: partial 16S ribosomal RNA
Rfam family: Bacterial small subunit ribosomal RNA
Source: RNAcentral